GAUGAACGCUGGCGGCGUGCCUAAUACAUGCAAGUCGAGCGAACGGACGAGAAGCUUGCUUCUCUGAUGUUAGCGGCGGACGGGUGAGUAACACGUGGAUAACCUACCUAUCAGACUGGGAUAACUUCGGGAAACCGGAGCUAAUACCGGAUGAUAUUUUGAACCGCAUGGUUCAAAAGUGAAAGUCGGUCUUGCUGUCACUUAUCGAUGGAUCCGCGCUGCAUUAGCUAGUUGGUAAGGUAACGGCUUACCAAGGCAACGAUGCAUAGCCGAACUGAGAGGGUGAUCGGCCACACUGGAACUGAGACACGGUCCAGACUCCUACGGGAGGCAGCAGUAGGGAAUCCUCCGCAAUGGGCGAAAGCCUGACGGAGCAACGCCGCGUGAGUGAUGAAGGUCUUCGGAGCGUAAAACUCUGUUAUUAGGGAAGAACAUAUGUGUAAGUAACUGUGCACAUCUUGACGGUACCUAAUCAGAAAGCCACGGCUAACUACGUG
This 497-nucleotide ribosomal RNA is filed under the name uncultured bacterium. RNAcentral's name for it is "partial 16S ribosomal RNA". It matches the Rfam family "Bacterial small subunit ribosomal RNA", at positions 28 to 507 of the family's 1533-position model. The record is from RNAcentral.